GACCUGGCUCGGGAUGAACGCUAGCUACAGGCUUAACACAUGCAAGUCGAGGGGCAGCAUGUUGGUUGCUUGCAACCGAUGAUGGCGACCGGCGCACGGGUGAGUAACGCGUAUCCAACCUACCCUUGUCCAUCGGAUAACCCGUCGAAAGGCGGCCUAACACGAUAUGCGGUUCACAGCAGGCAUCUAACGUGAACGAAAUGUGAAGGAGAAGGAUGGGGAUGCGUCUGAUUAG
This 235-nucleotide ribosomal RNA is filed under the name uncultured bacterium. RNAcentral's name for it is "partial 16S ribosomal RNA". It matches the Rfam family "Bacterial small subunit ribosomal RNA", at positions 16 to 244 of the family's 1533-position model. The record is from RNAcentral.